GCGUGUUUGUUAUAAGGGUCUUUUUGGUAAGAGGAGAGAAAUGCUCGCUUCCCUCCGCCAAAAAGUCUUAAAACCUUCCCCUCCAAAAACUGCCUCAGGCCGGGAAAUGGGGCCGGGCUGGGCCGUCUCCAGGGCUCCUUCCUGCUCUUAAAGAGGCGAAGCGAGUUUCGCGGGAGCCUCCUGGGCCGCUUUCCCGGCGGGCCCCCCGACGAGAGGGCGUCCCCCGGACUCGGCGGCUUGUACCGUUCUGCCGGCCCGGGCACCAAGGCUGGCCCCAUGCGGGGAGCCGAGGCUCCCGGGGGGCUCCCCGGGGCCCGCAGCCUCAUCGCGCUCGCCCCCCGGCCGAGCCGCUGCAGCCAGGCAGAAAUUGGGGCGCGGCGGGUGCCUCGGGGAGGGCAGGCGGGCUGCGAAGGCAGGCCUCCCCGCCCCGGCCGCCCGCUCCCCCCGCCCUCUCUCCUCUCCGUUCCCUUUCCCCCUUUUCCUCCCCCCGCCCGGCUCCCGGCUUAGAAACCCCCAGCUCUCCUCCCUGUCACCCGAGCCUUCCCGGGCCGGGGGGGGGGCCGGGACGCACCCACGCCCUCCUCGGAGUGAGGCCGCCGAGGAGACGGCGGACGGGAGUUUCGCGGCACGAGCCCCCCCACUGCCGAGUCGGUUGGCCCUGGAGGCGGCCAGAGCUGGGGUCUAGGCGCCGGGGGGGCAGAGCCAUGGCCCUGGGCGGCGGCCUGCAGCCCGGACGGCGCGCUGGCGGCGAUCGCCGGCGGUCCGGCGGCCCUGCGGAGGAGGUGCCCGGCCGGGGCGCCCGAGCCCUGGAGCGCAGCCCCCUCCCCGGCCCGCUCUCUCUGGCCGCCUCGAUGGCGCCCCCGGCCCGUCUCCGCCUCCCGCCGCCGGCCCAGGACCCCUUCCUGCCUACCCUGGCCGGCUCCCCGGCUUCGGCCACUGCCCCGUCGGCGGCGCACGUCUGGGAGCUGGGAGCCGCCCGGCUGCUGCAGCGCUCCGACUCCCGAGCGUCGCCCCGCCGCGCCCCGCCGCCCCGCAGCCCCCAGGCCAGGCAGGCCCGAGCGGCCGCCGCCCCGCGAGCCAAGCUGUCCCUGCUGCUGCUGCGACCAUCCCCCGCCGCUCAGCCCGCCCUGGGGGGGGGGCCCCUGGCCAACAGCCUCCGAGAGGGGACAACCGGGGCCGGCUACUACAGCGAGAAGCGCAUCGCGGAGUGGAUCAAUCAGGUGAACCGCAGCCUCUUCGCUCCCUCGGGGGUCCUGGACCCUCCGGAACAGGACAAGUCCAUCGGAACGGCGCACGAGGACCCCGGGAGCCUCCCACUGCCCAGCCCUGGGGUCCGAGAAUGUCUGAGCCAGAAGGGGAGGAGCGCCACCCCCUCGUUCGACAGAAGGGGAAACUGAGGCCCAGAGAGAGACCAAGCUCGCCCGGCUCCUUGGUGGCAUUCGGGACACAAGCCACGGAUCCUUCCACUUCCCAUCUAACUUGGCCCCUCCUUCAUCCCAGGGUACGGAACACUCGAUGACCCUUUCUUCUUGCAAAGGGGGUUCUAACAGGUCAGGAGGCAGGGCCGAGGGAUUCUACCACAAAUCCCUGCUCUCUCUUUACCGCUGGAGGGGAGCGGGGCUUUCGGGAGACACUGGGAUCGGGGCCAGCAGUUCCUGCGGAGCCGGAGAAAUCCAGGGCCUGCUUUUGCUUCUGGUUUGGGGUUGGCUUGGGUGGGAACUUCCCGGGGGACACCACGAGGCUUUCCCAUGAUCCCACAGCCGGUGGGAAAGCAAAGGCUGUCCCCAAACCAGCUCUUUUACAGCCUACUUCAACUGGGCAUCCCAUCUUGUAUUUCCACGCGAAGGGGAGCUCUGCUAGCGAAGCAGCCCUUCUCUGACCUGCUAGGAUGCUCCAAGUCCUUCUAGUUGUCCCCGAGGCUGUGGCUUCCUCCAUCUCCCUGGGACUGGAAAGAUGCCCUCAGGAACCCAGCCUUAAUCCCUGGGUAAGCAGCAUGCCAGUCUGUGGGGGGGGCCCUGUUACUUUGGAGUUCAAUGGUCGCUGAAGCCGAGUUCUUGUUACCUGAGACUUCCCCAACCCUCUUCUGAACAAAGGCUGGAGUACCUGCAGACCCCAGGACGGCUGUUCUGUCUGGGAGGCGGAGGAACUUGGAUCCCAUCGAGCACCUCGCCUUCUCCCUCACUCCCGAUCGACAGAAAUUAUCGAUAUCUAAAGACCCGGUAUAAGACUGAUUCCUCCUCUUCAGAUCCCUGAAGUCCUCAUACUGACCUGUCUCUUCUCCAGACUCCUCAAGGGCGAGAUCUCCUAAUUUUGGGCAGUGAGUGGAGUCAACUGUUAGCCACAAUCUGAGAGCUCUCACCUCCCCCCCCCCCCAUAGAGUUUCUUAUCUGCCCGCCUCCUGGCGACCACCAUUGCUAGGUGACUCUCAGGAAAGUAUCGGGGUCUCCUAGCUCUGGAAGUCUGUACUUGUAACACCCCUGACUCUGGACUGUCAGACAGGCCCCAGAGGCUCACUGCCAGCAGACACAGAAUUCUACCCUCUGGGGAACUGCGUUUGAGAAGCCCCCUCCUCUCUCCCUGGGCUUCUAAGAUCUCAAACCUCAGCUCAGCAAAAUGAAGGGACCAGGAAGAGCCAGAAGCUUGUGGAUUAAUCUUGGGUGACGGGGAGUGGGUAGGGAACCUGCCUUGUUUUGCAGUAGGGGUUGUUGGGGAAUUUCUCAGCCCAGAAAUCCUAAGAUCCUCCUAAAGAGUAAUUAUUCUUGCCAACAUCUUUUUGAAUGGAGAUCAAUAAACCAAGAAGCAAAGCUAGAAGAUUAAAAUGGUAUUAUGAGCUGAUUGAUAGCUGCCAGUAAAUUAUCCAGCAGGAUUUGACAUGGCCUUGGGGCAGAUGGCAAGAACCACCUUUUCCUUAUUUGUGGGAUGGAGUAGGAAAGCAGGUCUGGUGCUUGGGAAAGGGAGAAGGUUUUAAGUCUGAGGUCAUAGUCAUAUUGCCUAAGAUUUAGUCUGUUUAGGGUGGGGAUGGGGGGACACGGUUUCUAGUAGUAAAUCUCAUCCGUGGAGGAGAAGAUCUCCAUAAUUUCAUCAGAUAUAAGAUCAGAUGGAAUAAUAACUAGGUGGGUUUUGUUAUUAUUGUUCAAGGGUUUUAUUCAUGACCCCCCCCCUUUGGGGUUUUCUUGGCAAAAAUGCUGGAAUGCUUUGCCAUUUCUUCUCCGGCUCGUUUUACAGAUGAGGAAACUGAGGCAAACAAGAUGAAGGUUCCUUGCCCAGAGUCAUACAGCCAGUAGCGAGUGUCUGAGGCUGCAUUUGGACUCGGGAAGAUGAGGCUUCCUGACUUCAAGCCCCGAACUAUCCACUGCGGCACUUUCUGCUGCCCAUCUAGAGGGGACCAGAGGCUUAAGAUAGUACUUCCAAUGUGAAAUGGAAUCAGACACGAACACAGAAUGAGUCUAGGCUCCAUUUCUUUAACAUCUGCGGAGGUUUCCCCAGCAUGCAGAUUUUAUGGAGAAAAAGGAAGGAACAAGGAAAUAAUAACAGCUAACAUUUAGAUACUGUGUAUCAGGCACGGUACUAAGCACUUUACCAUUAUCUUAUUUGAUCCUCCUGAACAUCAUCUGAUGGGUACUGUUACCAUCCUGAUUUUGACCUGAUUACAAAGUUAAGUGACUUACCCAAGAUCACACAGCUAAUAAGUGUCUCAAACUGAAUUUGAACACAGCUCUUCUGACUCUCCAAACCUGGUAAAGGUAGUCACCAAAGGUCAGAGGCAGGAUUUGAACCCACGACCUCCAACUCCAGAGCCAUCCUAUACUCAUCCAGAGCAUCCAAUGCUCAGCGUCAUGUACAAUGCUAUUUCUCCAGGG
This 3860-nucleotide long non-coding RNA is filed under the name Sarcophilus harrisii (Tasmanian devil). RNAcentral's name for it is "lncRNA (ENSSHAG00000030202.1)". Lineage: Eukaryota; Metazoa; Chordata; Mammalia; Dasyuromorphia; Dasyuridae. The record is from RNAcentral.